This 443-nucleotide ribosomal RNA is filed under the name uncultured bacterium. RNAcentral describes it as "partial 16S ribosomal RNA". It matches the Rfam family "Bacterial small subunit ribosomal RNA", at positions 338 to 795 of the family's 1533-position model. The record is from RNAcentral.
CCUACGGGUGGCAGCAGUGGGGAAUUUUCGGCAAUGGAGGAAACUCUGACCCAGCAACGCCGCGUGAAUGAUGAAGGUCUUCGGAUUGUAAAGUUCUUUUCUAAGGGAAGAAGAAAGUGACGGUACCUUAGUAAUAAGCCUCGGCCAACUACGUACCAGCAGCCGCGGUAAUACGUAGGAGGGGAGCGGUCUUCGGGAAGACUGGGCGUAAAGGGGGGGUAGGUGGUUAGGCAAGUUAGUAGUGAAACACCAUGGGUCAAACUUGGAAGUACUACAAAAACUGUUGGACUUGAGUGCAGGAGAGGCAACUGGAAUUACUAGUGUAGCGGUAGAAUGCGUAAAUAUUAGGAGGAACACCAGUGGCGAAGGCGGGUUGCUAGGCUGUAACUGACACUGAGGCACGAAAGCGUGGGGAGCAAACAGGAUUAGAUACCCUGGUAGUC